UGGGGAAUAUUGGACAAUGGGCGAAAGCCUGAUCCAGCCAUGCCGCGUGUGUGAAGAAGGUCUUCGGAUUGUAAGCACUUUAAGUUGGGAGGAAGGGCAGUAAGCGAAUACCUUGCUGUUUUGACGUUACCGACAGAAUAAGCACCGGCUAACUCUGUGCUAGCAGCCGCGGUAAUACAGAGGGUGCAAGCGUUAAUCGGAAUUACUGGGCGUAAAGCGCGCGUAGGUGGUUCGUUAAGUUGAAUGUGAAAGCCCCGGGCUCAACCUGGGAACUGCAUCCAAAACUGGCGAGCUAGAGUAGGGCAGAGGGUGGUGGAAUUUCCUGUGUAGCGGAGAAAUGCGUAGAUAUAGGAAGGAACACCAGUGGCGAAGGCGACCACCUGGGCUCAUACUGACACUGAGGUGCGAAAGCGUGGGGAGCAAACAGG
RNAcentral lists this ribosomal RNA (428 nucleotides) under Pseudomonadota bacterium. RNAcentral describes it as "Proteobacteria bacterium partial 16S ribosomal RNA". It matches the Rfam family "Bacterial small subunit ribosomal RNA", at positions 355 to 776 of the family's 1533-position model. The record is from RNAcentral. Lineage: Bacteria; Pseudomonadati; Pseudomonadota.